GGUUCCAUAGUGUAGCGGUUAGCACAUCUGCUUUAUAUGCAGAAGGCCCUGGAUUCGUGCCCUAGUGGAGCCA
RNAcentral lists this transfer RNA (73 nucleotides) under Pteropus alecto (black flying fox). It matches the Rfam family "tRNA". Rfam says of the family: Transfer RNA (tRNA) molecules are approximately 80 nucleotides in length. The record is from Rfam by way of RNAcentral. Lineage: Eukaryota; Metazoa; Chordata; Mammalia; Chiroptera; Pteropodidae.